CUCCCAAACCCCUGUGAACAUACCACUUGUUGCCUCGGCGGAUCAGCCCGCUCCCGGUAAAACGGGACGGCCCGCCAGAGGACCCCUAAACUCUGUUUCUAUAUGUAACUUCUGAGUAAAACCAUAAAUAAAUCAAAACUUUCAACAACGGAUCUCUUGGUUCUGGCAUCGAUGAAGAACGCAGCAAAAUGCGAUAAGUAAUGUGAAUUGCAGAAUUCAGUGAAUCAUCGAAUCUUUGAACGCACAUUGCGCCCGCCAGUAUUCUGGCGGGCAUGCCUGUUCGAGCGUCAUUUCAACCCUCAAGCACAGCUUGGUGUUGGGACUCGCGUUAAUUCGCGUUCCUCAAAUUGAUUGGCGGUCACGUCGAGCUUCCAUAGCGUAGUAGUAAAACCCUCGUUACUGGUAAUCGUCGCGGCCACGCCGUUAAACCCCAACUUCUGAAUGUUGACCUCGGAUCAGGUAGGAAUACCCGCUGAACUUAAGCAUAU
This 488-nucleotide ribosomal RNA is filed under the name Fusarium oxysporum f. sp. phaseoli. RNAcentral describes it as "eukaryotic LSU rRNA". The stretch from base 137 to 290 matches the Rfam family "5.8S ribosomal RNA". Lineage: Eukaryota; Fungi; Ascomycota; Sordariomycetes; Hypocreales; Nectriaceae. The record is from RNAcentral.